GGUUAAGCGACUAAGCGUACACGGUGGAUGCCCUGGCAGUCAGAGGCGAUGAAGGGCGUGCUAAUCUGCGAUAAGCGCCGGUAAGGUGAUAUGAACCGUUAUAACCGGCGAUACCCGAAUGGGGAAACCCAGUGUGACUCGUCACACUAUCAUUAACUGAAUCCAUAGGUUAAUGAGGCGAACCGGGGGAACUGAAACAUCUAAGUACCCCGAGGAAAAGAAAUCAACCGAGAUUCCCCCAGUAGCGGCGAGCGAACGGGGAGGAGCCCAGAGCCUGAAUCAGCAUGUGUGUUAGUGGAAGCGUCUGGAAAGGCGCGCGAUACAGGGUGACAGCCCCGUACACAAAAGCGCAUGUGCUGUGAGCUCGAUGAGUAGGGCGGGACACGUGGUAUCCUGUCUGAAUAUGGGGGGACCAUCCUCCAAGGCUAAAUACUCCUGACUGACCGAUAGUGAACCAGUACCGUGAGGGAAAGGCGAAAAGAACCCCGGCGAGGGGAGUGAAAAAGAACCUGAAACCGUGUACGUACAAGCAGUGGGAGCACAGGUUUACCUGUGUGACUGCGUACCUUUUGUAUAAUGGGUCAGCGACUUAUAUUCUGUAGCAAGGUUAACCGUAUAGGGGAGCCGUAGGGAAACCGAGUCUUAAUUGGGCGUUAAGUUGCAGGGUAUAGACCCGAAACCCGGUGAUCUAGCCAUGGGCAGGUUGAAGGUUGGGUAACACUAACUGGAGGACCGAACCGACUAAUGUUGAAAAAUUAGCGGAUGACCUGUGGCUGGGGGUGAAAGGCCAAUCAAACCGGGAGAUAGCUGGUUCUCCCCGAAAGCUAUUUAGGUAGCGCCUCGUGAAUUCAUCUCCGGGGGUAGAGCACUGUUUCGGCUAGGGGGCCAUCCCGGCUUACCAACCCGAUGCAAACUGCGAAUACCGGAGAAUGUUAUCACGGGAGACACACGGCGGGUGCUAACGUCCGUCGUGAAGAGGGAAACAACCCAGACCGCCAGCUAAGGUCCCAAAGUCAUGGUUAAGUGGGAAACGAUGUGGGAAGGCCCAGACAGCCAGGAUGUUGGCUUAGAAGCAGCCAUCAUUUAAAGAAAGCGUAAUAGCUCACUGGUCGAGUCGGCCUGCGCGGAAGAUGUAACGGGGCUAAACCAUGCACCGAAGCUGCGGCAGCGACNNNNNNNNNNNNNNNNNNNNNNNNNNNNNNNNNNNNNNNNNNNNNNNNNNNNNNNNNNNNNNNNNNNNNNNNNNNNNNNNNNNNNNNNNNNNNNNNNNNNUGCUGGAGGUAUCAGAAGUGCGAAUGCUGACAUAAGUAACGAUAAAGCGGGUGAAAAGCCCGCUCGCCGGAAGACCAAGGGUUCCUGUCCAACGUUAAUCGGGGCAGGGUGAGUCGACCCCUAAGGCGAGGCCGAAAGGCGUAGUCGAUGGGAAACGGGUUAAUAUUCCCGUACUUGGUGUUACUGCGAAGGGGGGACGGAGAAGGCUAUGUUGGCCGGGCGACGGUUGUCCCGGUUUAAGCGUGUAGGUGUGUGUUCCAGGUAAAUCCGGUUCACUUUAACACUGAGGCGUGACGACGAGGCACUACGGUGCUGAAGCAACAAAUGCCCUGCUUCCAGGAAAAGCCUCUAAGCAUCAGGUAACAUCAAAUCGUACCCCAAACCGACACAGGUGGUCAGGUAGAGAAUACCAAGGCGCUUGAGAGAACUCGGGUGAAGGAACUAGGCAAAAUGGUGCCGUAACUUCGGGAGAAGGCACGCUGACAUGUAGGUGAAGUGAUUUACUCAUGGAGCUGAAGUCAGUCGAAGAUACCAGCUGGCUGCAACUGUUUAUUAAAAACACAGCACUGUGCAAACACGAAAGUGGACGUAUACGGUGUGACGCCUGCCCGGUGCCGGAAGGUUAAUUGAUGGGGUCAGCGCAAGCGAAGCUCCUGAUCGAAGCCCCGGUAAACGGCGGCCGUAACUAUAACGGUCCUAAGGUAGCGAAAUUCCUUGUCGGGUAAGUUCCGACCUGCACGAAUGGCGUAAUGAUGGCCAGGCUGUCUCCACCCGAGACUCAGUGAAAUUGAACUCGCUGUGAAGAUGCAGUGUACCCGCGGCAAGACGGAAAGACCCCGUGAACCUUUACUAUAGCUUGACACUGAACAUUGAGCCUUGAUGUGUAGGAUAGGUGGGAGGCUUUGAAGUGUGGACGCCAGUCUGCAUGGAGCCGACCUUGAAAUACCACCCUUUAAUGUUUGAUGUUCUAACGUGGACCCGUAAUCCGGGUUGCGGACAGUGUCUGGUGGGUAGUUUGACUGGGGCGGUCUCCUCCUAAAGAGUAACGGAGGAGCACGAAGGUUGGCUAAUCCUGGUCGGACAUCAGGAGGUUAGUGCAAUGGCAUAAGCCAGCUUGACUGCGAGCGUGACGGCGCGAGCAGGUGCGAAAGCAGGUCAUAGUGAUCCGGUGGUUCUGAAUGGAAGGGCCAUCGCUCAACGGAUAAAAGGUACUCCGGGGAUAACAGGCUGAUACCGCCCAAGAGUUCAUAUCGACGGCGGUGUUUGGCACCUCGAUGUCGGCUCAUCACAUCCUGGGGCUGAAGUAGGUCCCAAGGGUAUGGCUGUUCGCCAUUUAAAGUGGUACGCGAGCUGGGUUUAGAACGUCGUGAGACAGUUCGGUCCCUAUCUGCCGUGGGCGCUGGAGAACUGAGGGGGGCUGCUCCUAGUACGAGAGGACCGGAGUGGACGCAUCACUGGUGUUCGGGUUGUCAUGCCAAUGGCACUGCCCGGUAGCUAAAUGCGGAAGAGAUAAGUGCUGAAAGCAUCUAAGCACGAAACUUGCCCCGAGAUGAGUUCUCCCUGAGACUUAGAGUCUCCUGAAGGAACGUUGAAGACGACGACGUUGAUAGGCCGGGUGUGUAAGCGCAGCGAUGCGUUGAGCUAACCGGUACUAAUGAACCGUGAGGCUUAACCUU
RNAcentral lists this ribosomal RNA (2948 nucleotides) under Salmonella enterica subsp. enterica serovar Hvittingfoss. RNAcentral describes it as "23S ribosomal RNA". It matches the Rfam family "Bacterial large subunit ribosomal RNA". Lineage: Bacteria; Pseudomonadati; Pseudomonadota; Gammaproteobacteria; Enterobacterales; Enterobacteriaceae. RNAcentral also lists the same sequence under 1 other name. The record is from RNAcentral.